Molecule: ribosomal RNA, 513 nt
Filed under: uncultured bacterium
Lineage: Bacteria
Description: bacterial SSU rRNA
Rfam family: Bacterial small subunit ribosomal RNA
Source: RNAcentral
UAGUCCACGCCGUAAACGAUGAGUGCUAGUCGUCGGGAUCUUUAGAUUUCGGUGACGCAGCUAACGCGUUAAGCACUCCGCCUGGGGAGUACGGUCGCAAGAUUAAAACUCGAAGGAAUUGACGGGGACCCGCACAAGCGGUGGAGCAUGUGGUUUAAUUCGAGGCAACGCGAAGAACCUUACCAGGGCUUGACAUCCCGAUCGCGGUUUUCAGAGAUGAUUACCUUCAGUUUGGCUGGAUCGGUGACAGGUGCUGCAUGGCUGUCGUCAGCUCGUGUCGUGAGAUGUUGGGUUAAGUCCCGCAGCGAGCGCAACCCUCAUCCUUAGUUGCUAACAUUUAGUUGAGAACUCUAAAGGAAACUGCCGGCGUUAAGCCGGAGGAAGGUGGGGAGUGACGUCAAGUCUUCAUGGCCCUUACGCCCUGGGCUACACACGUGCUACAAUGGCGGUGACAGAGGGACGCUACCCCGCGAGGGGAUGCAAAUCUCCAAAAACCGCCUCAGUUCAGAUUGG